RNAcentral lists this ribosomal RNA (371 nucleotides) under uncultured bacterium. RNAcentral describes it as "bacterial SSU rRNA". It matches the Rfam family "Bacterial small subunit ribosomal RNA", at positions 527 to 896 of the family's 1533-position model. The record is from RNAcentral.
GGGGGGGGCAAGCGUUGUUCGGAAUUACUGGGCGUAAAGGGUGCGUAGGCGGCUUUCUAAGUUGGAUGUGAAAACUCUGGGCUCAACCCAGAGACUGCAUCCAAAACUGGAGAGCUUGGGUUCUGGAGGGGAAAGCGGAAUUCCUGGUGUAGCGGUGAAAUGCGUAGAUAUCAGGAGGAACACCGGUGGCGAAGGCGGCUUUCUGGACAGAUACCGACGCUGAGGCACGAAAGCUAGGGGAGCAAACAGGAUUAGAUACCCUGGUAGUCCUAGCCCUAAACGAUGGAUACUUGCUGUGAGGGGGAUUGAAACCCCUUGUGGCGAAGCUAACGCAUUAAGUAUCCCGCCUGGGGAGUACGGUCGCAAGGCUG